RNAcentral lists this unclassified non-coding RNA (332 nucleotides) under Hevea brasiliensis (rubber tree). The record is from RNAcentral. Lineage: Eukaryota; Viridiplantae; Streptophyta; Magnoliopsida; Malpighiales; Euphorbiaceae.
UCUGCCUCAGGAAUUCCCAGGUGCUCACUAUCAAUGUCCAUCAGUUUCAUCUCAAAAUCCGAAAUUUUGUCUUGAGUAGGGCUUUCAAACAUAAAAGUGACGGUAUCGCUGCCAUCGUCAGCCUUGAUAGUGAUGAUGUCGUCAUUUCCAGAGCACUUCAACAUCUUGGACAUGUUAUUGAGAUUCAUACCCAUGGAAAUGUUACGGUCACAUCGGUAGUGCUCAAAACCCUCUGAUCUGAGGAGGAGAGCCACCAGGGCCACGUGGCUUGAAUCCAUGGCCUGGAGAGAGAAGCCCGUCGACGAGCAAUCGAAGUUGGCAUCAUUGACCAA